GUUGCAGUGUGUCUGCCUAUCUACACUUGCUGUGCAGAAUAUCCUCCAACCUGUACAGCAGGCACAGACAGGCAGAUA
This 78-nucleotide microRNA precursor is filed under the name Mola mola (ocean sunfish). Its description in RNAcentral is "miRNA (ENSMMOG00000017994.1)". It matches the Rfam family "mir-214 microRNA precursor family", at positions 9 to 86 of the family's 101-position model. The record is from RNAcentral. Lineage: Eukaryota; Metazoa; Chordata; Actinopteri; Tetraodontiformes; Molidae.